Aspergillus coremiiformis is the source of this 72-nucleotide non-coding RNA. Lineage: Eukaryota; Fungi; Ascomycota; Eurotiomycetes; Eurotiales; Aspergillaceae. The record is from the annotation of a GenBank genome assembly.
GCCCUUAUUGCACAGUGGUAGUGCGUCGCACUUGUAAUGCGGAGGUCCGUGGUUCAAUCCCGCGUGGGGGCU